AUUGAACGCUGGCGGCAGGCCUAACACAUGCAAGUCGAACGAGUGGCGGACGGGUGAGUAAUUUCUGGGCAACUGCCUGAUGGAGGGGGAUAACUACUGGAAACGGUAGCUAAUACCGCAUACCAUCGGAUGUGUCUAGGGUGGUUUGGCUAGUAGGUGGGGUAAUGGCUCACCUAGGCGACGAUCCCUAGCUGGUCUGAGAGGAUGACCGGCCACACUGGGACUGAGACACGGUCCAGACUCCUACGGGAGGCAGCAGUGGGGAAUAUUGCACAAUGGGCGCAAGCCUGAUGCAGCCAUGCCGCGUGUGUGAAGAAGGCCUUCGGGUUGUAAAGCACUUUCAGCGGGGAGGCGUUACUCACAGAAGAAGCAACGGCUAACUCCGUGCCAGCAGCCGCGGUAAUUC
This 406-nucleotide ribosomal RNA is filed under the name uncultured bacterium. Its description in RNAcentral is "partial 16S ribosomal RNA". It matches the Rfam family "Bacterial small subunit ribosomal RNA", at positions 30 to 526 of the family's 1533-position model. The record is from RNAcentral.